AGGUUGGCCUGGCCUCAUGUCAUUCUUCUUUGAAUAUCCCCAGCGCAGAUCCCUCAGUUACCACGUCUCCAUAUUUCCAUGCUGAAAUAUUCUCCUGCAGCCAGUCGUGUUGCUUAGUGGAAAAGCUGUCACACGGGGAGAAACCAGGAGAUGGGCAGUGAAGGACUUCAACCGUUCAAUGUCAGCACGCCUUCAGCAUUUCUGCGAGCUGAGCCGGUUGGGAACGAAGCAGCAGCCGUGGGAAUUGUUUUGCGCCAUCAGUGAGAAGCACUGCGGCACUGCCUGACCGUGCUCCUGUGGCUGGAGCCUACAUAAAGCAUUCAGCAUACACUUCAAAAUGCUCCAGGGUGCGGAUGCUCCUGGUGCUCUGAUUUUAUACUGGCUUUGCCACAGACCCAUGACCAUGUCACCAACUCAUUGCCCCUUGGAGGGUAUAGGAAGAAGCUGUGCAGCUGUGGAGGUGACAGCGGCGCUGAGCCUCGGUGGGGGGUCUCCGUUCCCUGCCUGAGAGCAUCAGGGCGAGUCUGUCUCCGACAUGGGUCGAAUCUGGAUAUGCAUAAUGAAGGAGGCACUCCAAAUUACUCUGGUUCUCAGUCUUUCCAGUUCUGAAAUCUUAAUCUGUCUCUCUCAUGCAUAAGAUCUGCUUUAUGGAAGUGGUGGUUAAUGUAAUUGUUUUUCAGAAAGCAUUUUGACCCAUGUCUGUUGGAGUCUAUAGGGUAAAAAAAGUUGAAUGUGGCUCACGUCUGUCAGUGUGGAUGUAUGGAAAUAGCAACAUCAUUUCUUGUUAGACUGAUGUUCCUUUUUAAACUCGUAAAAGCGUCUUGUAAUGUUUGUUGCUGUAACAGUUGUCUUCAAACUGCAGCUGAGUUUCACACAUGGUGCUGCGGUGCUUUUAUCCUCAGCUCCCUUAGAAUUACAUAUGUCUGUGCCAAUACUUUUUUUUGGCCUCCACAUCACGACUUUAGAACAACUCUGUCCCUUUGGACAUUUGAAAGUUAAUCUCAACUAUAUUUUUUCCUUCUAUAAACCUAAAUAAUAGUAAAAUAUAACAAUUAUUAACAUACUUUUCCAUUUGUGGGAUAUCUCCAAAUUAAUUCCACAAAUAACUAGUACUAAACUUUGAAGAGCUGAAGACAAAUUCUGAUCAUGAAUAAACAGGAUCUGGAUUUUCAUCUCAUUACAGUGAGUCUGAAACUGGCUCUUAUAUUUCCUUAAUGUCCAGCAUAGUUUAACUAAGGGUGGUCUUCAAUCAAGUGCUGGAUGGAUGUGUGCCUACACGUGUACGUGUAUGAAACUACGUUCUUUCUAUCAAAAGAGAUUUCACUGGAUUUUUCCAGAGGAGUGAAAAACUGCAGGUUGAGGGAGGAAUUUUUUUUAAUUGAAACAUGUUAGGUGUGUCAUGGUUGUUGAGUGAGUGAAUCCACCAUGAUAGUGCUGUCUCCAGAGCAACUUUGAAAGCUACUACCUAGAAAGUUGAGCAACUAUGUCCUUCCACCUCUGCUUGUACAAUAUAUUUAAAGAAUGGCAACUGCAUGUAAAUGGAAAUAGUGGUAAACACUGGGGUUUUUAGCCCUUCAGUAUACCAGUCAUAUUAAUCAACUACUUCUUUCUCUCUCCUAAUAGAUGAAUUAUGAAAAGAAAGUGCUUUGAAUACAAGGAGAGGUGUUGUCUUGCGGCAUAUGUCCCUUUGCUGUAUGACGUCCAAGUAUCUUUACGAAAAGGGCAAGCUGGCUUUGUAUUUGCAUGGAAGCAAGGACCUAAGAAUACAGAUUCUUCUGGAAAUGCCAUCAAUAUAUAUGGAAAAGAAGCUGUGGGUUUGGCAAUGUCCUCUACAUCCUCUGAAGUUAGACGGGCAAGUGUCUUCAGAAAUCAUUUGCUUACGUAAAAUGCAAACUGACUUUGCCACUUUCAGCAGGAACGGGUUACGUGCACCAACAAGUAAAGAUACAGUAACUGGUUCCUUUAAAAAUUUUGGAGUGUUGAUGAGAAAAAUCCCAUCAUCAAUGAAGACACCAGCAAAGUGACUGAAGGAAUGUUCGUCCUCAGCAGAACAGGAAACCUUUUGCUACAUUCAGAACGCCCAUCUAGAUACCAGCAAGUACCCGGCCCCUCGCAUCCAGGGGAAACACCAGCUGAAGAGCCCAAGGGGAACCAGCAGCCACCAGUACUGCCGGACAGAUGGAAACUCAGAAUGAGUGGGAGGCUGGAAGACCCCCGGUGCUCUUGGGUUCUGAAAUGCCUCAGGCCUCCUGGAUGUUAGCCUGUAAUGUAUUACAAAAAACACCCCACAGCUCCAAAAUAAUCUGUUUCUUCUACUAUAAAUAGUCAUAGCUAUAGAUCACUCACUGCACAUGCCAAGCCUUGUGUUCUUUGGUUUUUUUUCCCAUCCUCAGUAUUGAGUUACUGAAUUUCAGCAGUUGCGGCUGUAGCUGUGAUGCUGAGGGAGCAGCGGGAAUGAAAUUUUUCCAAGACACAGUGUGUUCUCCCCUCCACGUCGACCAGAGCAGACAGACUCCCACACUGGCUGUGCAGGAGAAAGGACAGCUUGAGCUCCCACAGCCGCCCUGGAAAAAUCUCUUUUUGCAUUCAGGAUAUGUGGUGAGGGUUCACCAACUCAAGGACCAGCAGAGCCUGUCCUGCUUAUCUAAUUUGCAGCCUUGUAUGCAGAAUAUUUACUGGAAAAAAUGGAUUAUCGCUUUUUUUGAAACCAUCUUGCAUCAUUUUA
This is a long non-coding RNA of Falco peregrinus (peregrine falcon), 2725 nucleotides long. RefSeq lists it as uncharacterized. The record is from RefSeq and is a predicted model, not a curated record. Lineage: Eukaryota; Metazoa; Chordata; Aves; Falconiformes; Falconidae. The transcript is spliced from 4 exons.